RNAcentral lists this ribosomal RNA (839 nucleotides) under Staphylococcus sp. RNAcentral describes it as "bacterial SSU rRNA". It matches the Rfam family "Bacterial small subunit ribosomal RNA", at positions 54 to 873 of the family's 1533-position model. Lineage: Bacteria; Bacillati; Bacillota; Bacilli; Caryophanales; Staphylococcaceae. The record is from RNAcentral.
CAUGCAGUCGAGCGACAGAUAAGGAGCUUGCGUCCUUUGACGUUAGCGGCGGACGGGUGAGUAACACGUGGAUAACCUACCUAUAAGACUGGGAUAACUUCGGGAAACCGGAGCUAAUACCGGAUAACAUAUUGAACCGCAUGGUUCAAUAGUGAAAGGCGGCUUUGCUGUCACUUAUAGAUGGAUCCGCGCCGUAUUAGCUAGUUGGUAAGGUAACGGCUUACCAAGGCAACGAUACGUAGCCGACCUGAGAGGGUGAUCGGCCACACUGGAACUGAGACACGGUCCAGACUCCUACGGGAGGCAGCAGUAGGGAAUCUUCCGCAAUGGGCGAAAGCCUGACGGAGCAACGCCGCGUGAGUGAUGAAGGUCUUCGGAUCGUAAAACUCUGUUAUCAGGGAAGAACAAAUGUGUAAGUAACUGUGCACAUCUUGACGGUACCUGAUCAGAAAGCCACGGCUAACUACGUGCCAGCAGCCGCGGUAAUACGUAGGUGGCAAGCGUUAUCCGGAAUUAUUGGGCGUAAAGCGCGCGUAGGCGGUUUUUUAAGUCUGAUGUGAAAGCCCACGGCUCAACCGUGGAGGGUCAUUGGAAACUGGAAAACUUGAGUGCAGAAGAGGAAAGUGGAAUUCCAUGUGUAGCGGUGAAAUGCGCAGAGAUAUGGAGGAACACCAGUGGCGAAGGCGACUUUCUGGUCUGUAACUGACGCUGAUGUGCGAAAGCGUGGGGAUCAAACAGGAUUAGAUACCCUGGUAGUCCACGCCGUAAACGAUGAGUGCUAAGUGUUAGGGGGUUUCCGCCCCUUAGUGCUGCAGCUAACGCAUUAAGCACUCCGCCCU